GGGGACUUUUCGACCGUGCCCCCCUUUUUUAUCACAGUACCCUUAACUUCACCGUAUAUUUGCGAUUAAAUCUCCGUUCUCCGUCUUCUCUCUCGCUCUGCUUCUUCCUUUCCAAUUCCUUUUUCUCUUUUUUUUCGUACAGAACUGAGCUCUCUCUCUUGAUUCACUCGCCUUCCAUAUCUGAUCUAAUCUCUUUAAUUCCUCUUUUCCAAGUUAAUUCACCUGAUUUAAGGGUUAUGCUUCAAAUUCACUUGAUUGAACCAUCAAGUUUGAGGAAAAAAACUUAAUUCAUCUGUAUUCAUCUCUAGAAGUCGUGAAUGGCUAGAACGACAUCAAAGAAAUCAAAGACAAGAGAUCAAAGACAAGAGAACAGAAUUGCAGGUACAGACUAACUGUUCGAAGAAUUAUAGCAGUUAGAUUAGAUCCUAGAAUACAAGCUCGGCAAGACAUGAAUGCUGGGAAGAAAAUAUAACAACAAAGAUAUGUUCGAUAAAACAAUCGGCGUAUUUUUGAAAAGGCAAAACGAGCAGCAAUGACGGAAAAUGAAAGACAAGAGCUUCUUCAAAAACGACUCAACGCUUAUCAUAUGCCAACAGCAGCACGAGACACACAUCCAACAAAAAAUGAGCAUGAAGCAUCAACAAGUUCUGAUGGAUUCACAAGGUAAGAUUUUGGGUUUCUAUCCACGUCGAAGUCCAAGAAUUAUCGACAGGCAAUCUCAACAACAAGGAGAUGCUCACUUACAGCGACGCCGUGCUACAUAUGCAAGGCAAUCCCAACAGCAAAGAGAUUGUCACUUACAGCGGGGUCGUGCUGCAUAUGAAGUAAAACGAGAUUCGAUAGCUGAAGUCGAAACACUAGCGCUUCUUGAUCAAACUGAGUAAUGCUUAUCGCAUUGAAGGUAAAAGGUACCUUCCUGACACCAUUGAUGUUGCCAGUGGAGGACGACAACAGGGAUCUACAGGCUGUGAAUGUUAAGAAAUGAACUCUUCCAGUUUAGGCAUCUCGAGCCUUUGGGUAAAUAGCGAAGUGCAUCCAGUUCCCCACUGUUGGAUUGAUAUCAAGUGCAGUGAAAUUUAUUAAAGUUCCUUUUGAAUAUCCCAAAGCAUUCUAUACAAAACUGGAGUCUGUCCCUUAUCAUUUUUCUCAUUAGAACUGUUUAUGUUUCCAUUUUCAUCAUAAAAUCUUUGUAUGAAGACAGAUACCUAAUAAGCCUACUAGCAAAGAAGUUGUUUAGUUUGUCACUCUUUAUGUUUUAUAUAAGUUUUGUAUCAGAACGAAAAGCCGGCAGGUGCAUCGCACGUGCGUCUUUGCUAGUUUUUCUAAAGGGGAGACGGUGAAACCAUGACGGAAGAAAAGAGUGAACCCUAAUGGGAAAACUAAAAUCCUAUGUCGCUCGUAUCGAUCUUUCUGUCUCUUCCUCUGAUAUCUCUCGAAUCCCUGUAGAUUGUUUUGGUUUGGAUUCUUCAAAUCCCUAAACUCAAAAGUGGAAGGACUUCAAAUUUUGAUUAUGAGAAUGGGUACCACAUCUUGGAGGAUAUACAACAGAAUAUUGCUCUUGGGCUACAGUUAGUAAAUGUAGAGAAAAAUGUUUUGGUUUUGCACUAGAAAAUGUUUUGAAAUAUUAACAACCAGCCUAAGGUUUGCAUUUCUCGUUACCUUCAUUCGUUAUCCAAAUUUCUCAAUUUACUCUUUCUAUUUUCAGUUCCUAUUACCUCAUGUCACUUGGUUUAAAUCUUCUUUUGCUAUUUGCGGUCAAACCAAUUCAUGCUUUAGAAUUAACUCUCGCUACCAUGUGAACAUACAUCUUCUAGGCUACUUUUGUAACCCUUAUUGCUGCUUUAGCCCUUACCAACCCCAAGAUACAACACUCGGUUCUAGUAUCUGCACUACUUAUUUGUUCCCUCCUUAAUUAUAGCAGUUGUUUAAGUACUAGUCUCUUUGAUUUUUCAUUAAUCUGUUUAUUUGGGUGUAUUUUUUUCUUGCACCCCCUCUUGCAAAAUCCUGACUCUGCCCAUGAGCUUAGGUAGUCCGCUUAGUAAGUUACUGUAGAAGAAUGAUUAGUCAAGUGAGGCACUUGUUGUCAGGUUAUGUAACUGUACUUUCUUUGUGUAGUUACCUUUUUUACUUGAGUUGGAGUACACUGAUGUGAAAGAGAGCCUCUUGCAAGCUGCUCGUAAAGCUCCUGUUGAGCCCUUGGCUUCCAAGAGUUCGAUUGUUAUAGGGGGAAAUACUAGAGAGAACUGUCUUCUUGUAGAAACCCAUGCAUGAAACAGUUUCGAGGCCAUACUUUGAGCUUAUUAAUGCGAGACUCUUCAAACUUGCACUAAAUGAGAGAGAUUUGCCAAGGCAAUCCGAAAUGGUGACGUCGAUGUAAUUUUACACCAUGCAAAUGGGUGAUGGUAUCAAAGGAGACUGGGGAUGUUUGCUGCACAAAUGAACCUGGAAUCUGCUUUAAACUUGGAGACUGGGGAUGUUUACUGCACAAAUGAACCUGGAAUCUGCUUUCAACUUGGAGGAUUGUCUUCUGCCUCAACAUGCAUAAUGAGACUGUGGGUGCGCUGCGUAUCUCUCCAAAUUCACAUCACAUGAGAAAGAAAAAAGAAGCGCAGAAAAGGGAAGGGAGAGAUAACAACAGAACAGAAGCUUGCAAAGCAUAUUGCCGAGGGGAAAGUAUAAGUUUCAGAUAGGAAAGCCCUGGGCGACAUUACAAACUGGAGGAAGUUGUCUCUUUGGAAUUAAAGAAGAAAAAUCCUAAGAAAUUGAAUGACAUUUCUGGAGAACGGUUCCUACACGAUCAUCAGAAAUGUAUUAAAUCACAGAAUUUUGAAAUGGAUAGGUAGUUGCUUCUUAAAACACUUGUAUUUGAUGAUGAUUUCUCUGUGCCAGUGUCUAAGCCAGGCAUUGUUUCAGCUUCGUUACCACCAAAGCAUUCUUACACUGUACAUUAUUGAAUUGUUCUUUGGAGUAUGAUGAGAUUCCGAAGUUACCUUAUGAAGUUCAAUCCCCACCUUGAUACCGCACUCCUGAACGCUCUCCUUCUCUGAUGUUGCUUGGAUCGCC
Papaver somniferum (opium poppy) is the source of this 3063-nucleotide long non-coding RNA. RefSeq lists it as uncharacterized. The record is from RefSeq and is a predicted model, not a curated record. NCBI's taxonomy places the organism in Eukaryota, Viridiplantae, Streptophyta, Magnoliopsida, Ranunculales, Papaveraceae. The transcript is spliced from 10 exons.